Molecule: ribosomal RNA, 424 nt
Filed under: uncultured bacterium
Lineage: Bacteria
Also listed under: 1 other name
Description: bacterial SSU rRNA
Rfam family: Bacterial small subunit ribosomal RNA
Source: RNAcentral
UGAGGAAUAUUGGUCAAUGGGCGCGAGCCUGAACCAGCCAAGUAGCGUGAAGGAUGACUGCCCUAUGGGUUGUAAACUUCUUUUAUAUUAGAAUAAAGUGCAGUAUGUAUACUGUUUUGUAUGUAUAAUAUGAAUAAGGAUCGGCUAACUCCGUGCCAGCAGCCGCGGUAAUACGGAGGAUCCGAGCGUUAUCCGGAUUUAUUGGGUUUAAAGGGAGCGUAGGUGGACUGGUAAGUCAGUUGUGAAAGUUUGCGGCUCAACCGUAAAAUUGCAGUUGAUACUGUCAGUCUUGAGUACAGUAGAGGUGGGCGGAAUUCGUGGUGUAGCGGUGAAAUGCUUAGAUAUCACGAAGAACUCCGAUUGCGAAGGCAGCUCACUGGACUGCAACUGACACUGAUGCUCGAAAGUGUGGGUAUCAAACAGG